Molecule: ribosomal RNA, 477 nt
Filed under: uncultured bacterium
Lineage: Bacteria
Description: partial 16S ribosomal RNA
Rfam family: Bacterial small subunit ribosomal RNA
Source: RNAcentral
AUUGAACGCUGGCGGCAUGCCUUACACAUGCAAGUCGAACGGUAACAGGUUAAGCUGACGAGUGGCGAACGGGUGAGUAAUGUAUCGGAACGUGCCCAGUCGUGGGGGAUAACUGCUCGAAAGAGCAGCUAAUACCGCAUACGACCUGAGGGUGAAAGCGGGGGAUCGCAAGACCUCGCGCGAUUGGAGCGGCCGAUAUCAGAUUAGGUAGUUGGUGAGGUAAAGGCUCACCAAGCCGACGAUCUGUAGCUGGUCUGAGAGGACGACCAGCCACACUGGGACUGAGGCACGGCCCAGACUCCUACGCGAGGCAGCAGUGGGGAAUUUUGGACAAUGGGCGCAAGCCUGAUCCAGCCAUGCCGCGUGCGGGAAGAAGGCCUUCGGGUUGUAAACCGCUUUUGUCAGGGAAGAAAAGGUUCUGGCUAAUACCUGGGACUCAUGACGGUACCUGAAGAAUAAGCACCGGCUAACUACGUG